AACGAACGCUGGCGGCAUGCCUAACACAUGCAAGUCGAACGAGACCUUCGUGUCUAGUGGCGCACGGGUGCGUAACGCGUGGGAACCUGCCCUUAGGUUCGGAAUAACUCCCCGAAAGGGGUGCUAAUACCGGAUAAUGUCUUCGGACCACAGAUUUAUCGCCUUUGGAUGGGCCCGCGUUGGAUUAGCUAGUUGGUAGGGUAAAAGCCUACCAAGGCGACGAUCCAUAGCUGGUCUGAGAGGAUGAUCAGCCACACUGGGACUGAGACACGGCCCAGACUCCUACGGGAGGCAGCAGUGGGGAAUAUUGGACAAUGGGCGAAAGCCUGAUCCAGCAAUGCCGCGUGAGUGAUGAUGGCCUUAGGGUUGUAAAGCUCUUUUACCCGGGAUGAUAAUGACAGUACCGGGAGAAUAAGCUCCGGCUAACUCCGUG
This 433-nucleotide ribosomal RNA is filed under the name uncultured bacterium. RNAcentral describes it as "partial 16S ribosomal RNA". It matches the Rfam family "Bacterial small subunit ribosomal RNA", at positions 29 to 507 of the family's 1533-position model. The record is from RNAcentral.